CUCCAGACUCCUACGGGAGGCAGCAGUGAGGAAUAUUGGUCAAUGGGCGGGAGCCUGAACCAGCCAAGCCGCGUGAGGGAAGAAGGUCCAGCGUAUCGUAAACCUCUUUUGUCAGGGAACAAAGGCGGGGACUAGUCCCCGGAUGAGGGUACCUGAAGAAAAAGCAUCGGCUAACUCCGUGCCAGCAGCCGCGGUAAUACGGAGGGUGCGAGCGUUAUCCGGAUUUAUUGGGUUUAAAGGGUGCGUAGGCGGGACGCCAAGUCAGCGGUAAAAUACGGGGGCUCAACCUGCGUCCGCCGUUGAAACUGGCGUUCUUGAGUGGGCGAGAAGUACGCGGAAUGCGUGGUGUAGCGGUGAAAUGCAUAGAUAUCACGCAGAACCCCGAUUGCGAAGGCAGCGUACCGGCGCCCAACUGACGCUGAAGCACGAAAGCGUGGGUAUCGAACAGGAUUAGAUACCCCAGUACG
RNAcentral lists this ribosomal RNA (467 nucleotides) under uncultured bacterium. RNAcentral describes it as "bacterial SSU rRNA". It matches the Rfam family "Bacterial small subunit ribosomal RNA", at positions 329 to 793 of the family's 1533-position model. The record is from RNAcentral.